This 404-nucleotide long non-coding RNA is filed under the name Androctonus crassicauda. Lineage: Eukaryota; Metazoa; Arthropoda; Arachnida; Scorpiones; Buthidae. The record is from RNAcentral.
AACGUUUCGGAUUAUGAAUGUUAAAAUUAUUUCUACUGUUGAAUGGUGCUGUGUUUGUUUAUUUAUUAUGAAUGGUUUUCACAGAGGGACAUAACCAUGUGCUUGAAUGAUUAUAAAAUAAAAGAUUCACUCCAUCAAAUUGUUUCCACAUCUUACAAAUGUUCAGUGUGUUCACCAUUGGUCACGUGGUACACAUCUGUCCUAUAGGCAUUUUGGCACACGUUCUACUCAGCAUGUUGGGGGGGUGUGGCAAUGGCGGCUGUGGUGCGGUGUUGCGGACUCUGGAUGUCUUGUGGUGGGUGUGGUGCAGAGACUUUGUCCUCCACCAUAAUGCUGCAAGAAGUCACAUCGUGUCGGGUCUGGUGACCUUGGUGGCCGGCGUGUGGGUGCCUGGUCGUGUGCUG